Molecule: long non-coding RNA, 411 nt
Organism: Carassius auratus (goldfish)
Lineage: Eukaryota; Metazoa; Chordata; Actinopteri; Cypriniformes; Cyprinidae
Exons: 3
Source: RefSeq, a predicted model, not a curated record
AGAGAUCUUCAUCUUCAUCGGUCGCCUUCACCCGGCGCUGCUGUCAAUACUCGGGUCUCUCCAGUCCUGCAGCUGUCGCCCAUGUCCCUCUCUGCCCGUGUGUGUGUGUGUGUUUCACAUCCGGUGCUUGCGGCUGGCGAGGCAAAGCGAUUCCCCACUUCCGGAUUGACUCAUUAAGUAGGACCCGCCCCCUUCGCCAUUUCCCUAGCAACAAGACGCCUUAGCAACCGUCGCGAUGUGGUGAUGGGCCGCUGGAUGCUUGGUGUCUCUGUAAUAACUCCAUGAACAGGUGAAGGUGAAGUGACAUUCAGCCAAGUAUGGUGACCCAUACUCAGAAUUUAACCCAUCCGAAAUGCACACACACAGAGCAGUGAACACACACACACACACACUGUGAGCACACACCCGGAG